Molecule: non-coding RNA, 675 nt
Organism: Misgurnus anguillicaudatus (oriental weatherfish)
Lineage: Eukaryota; Metazoa; Chordata; Actinopteri; Cypriniformes; Cobitidae
Source: RefSeq, a predicted model, not a curated record
GUUGCUGGCAUCCCUUUUCAUUGGCUCGGACUUUCACGGGCAGAUGCAGUAUCUUCCUCGACCGGCUCUUCAACAGUUUGUUCGCGGCAGCAGAUCUGAACUUUACUGUUUAACACGAUACCCAAGAGCUACCUGGGGUCUACAAGCUUCACAUCCAGGAUUUAUCUGCCUCUGUGGAGAAAAGGAGAGAAGUGGUCCUGAGAUGCCUGAUUGAGUACAUGGGGGAGAGACAGGAAGACCUCGUCAGUGUCUACCAUAAUCGUGCUGAAACAGAGGUGCACGCUGAGCUUUGCAUUUGCCCACUGAACAUUUACAUGUGCCAUCAUCCCGACACAACUGGUAUUAUCAUCGAAGGACAGCCCGUGGUCAGAGGUUUGCCAAACCUGUCAAAAGCAUGCUGCCUCCUGUUUGGACUUGCCUAUGCUGUCGACCUCAAGUAUCCAUCAAAACUGGUGUAUGGUUUUGAGAUAUAUCAGAGGCUUUUUGUUGGAUUGGACCCCAUGCGUCCUAAGCCAUCAUCCAAGUACGCAAAUCUCCUCAAAAAGUUGUCUUAGAUGAUUUCUCAAUGGAAUCUGGCUGACUUUUUUUCGCUGACUUUUUGGGACUUUGGCUUAUUCACCGUAUCCCCCAGAGUUAGAUAAGUCCAUUCAUACCCUUCUCAUCUCCAUGCGUGCC